Molecule: ribosomal RNA, 495 nt
Filed under: uncultured bacterium
Lineage: Bacteria
Description: partial 16S ribosomal RNA
Rfam family: Bacterial small subunit ribosomal RNA
Source: RNAcentral
GACGAACGCUGGCGGCGUGCCUAAUACAUGCAAGUAGAACGCUGAAGGAGGAGCUUGCUUCUCUGGAUGAGUUGCGAACGGGUGAGUAACGCGUAGGUAACCUGCCUGGUAGCGGGGGAUAACUAUUGGAAACGAUAGCUAAUACCGCAUAAGAGUAGAUGUUGCAUGACAUUUGCUUAAAAGGUGCAAUUGCAUCACUACCAGAUGGACCUGCGUUGUAUUAGCUAGUUGGUGGGGUAACGGCUCACCAAGGCGACGAUACAUAGCCGACCUGAGAGGGUGAUCGGCCACACUGGGACUGAGACACGGCCCAGACUCCUACGGGAGGCAGCAGUAGGGAAUCUUCGGCAAUGGACGGAAGUCUGACCGAGCAACGCCGCGUGAGUGAAGAAGGGUUUCGGAUCGUAAAGCUCUGUUGUAAGAGAAGAACGAGUGUGAGAGUGGAAAGUUCGCACUGUGACGGUAUCUUACCAGAAAGGGACGGCUAACUACGUG